AUAUAAUGUGUGAUGGGCACUGAUAACAACUCUAUGAGGUUGGGAGGCAUCUAGGAAAAAUUGUGGAGACACAAUAUGUGGUGAUUGCCAUCAUUGUCUCUGACAGCUCAGUAAAAUAAAGCAAGGGAGAUAAAGCCAACAAUCAGCAAUCAGCCACCAUGAAUAGCAGAUCAUCAAAUCCUGCCGCAUUUUUGUCAUCCCUGUCACAGCAGAACCAUAUAUGUGCAUGUCUGUUUCCGAUUGGCAUAUAGUAAGUAGAGAUGACAAAUCGUGUGGUCUUUUCAUAAACACC
RNAcentral lists this long non-coding RNA (292 nucleotides) under Oryza brachyantha (malo sina). RNAcentral's name for it is "long non-coding RNA (OBRA_LNC003099)". The record is from RNAcentral. Lineage: Eukaryota; Viridiplantae; Streptophyta; Magnoliopsida; Poales; Poaceae.